UUCGCAAUGCCCGAAAGGGUGACGAAGCGACGCCGCGUGUGGGAAGAAGGCCUUCGGGUUGUAAACCACUGUCGGGAGUUAAGAAAUGCAAGGAUAUGAAUAGUGUCUUUGCUUGACUAAGGCUCCGGAGGAAGCCACGGCUAACUCUGUGCCAGCAGCCGCGGUAAUACAGAGGCGGCAAGCGUUGUUCGGAAUUAUUGGGCGUAAAGAGCACGUAGGCGGCUAUGUAAGUCGGUCGUGAAAGCCUUCCGCUCAACGGGAGAACAGCAUCCGAUACUACAUGGCUUGAGUGCGGGAGGGGAGAGUGGAACUUCUGGUGGAGCGGUGAAAUGCGUAGAUAUCAGAAGGAACGCCGGCGGCGAAAGCGGCUCUCUGGCCCAUAACUGACGCUGAGUGUGCGAAAGCUAGGGGAGCAAACGGGAUUAGAUACCCCGGUAGUCCUAGCCGUAAACGAUGGGCACUAAGUAGAGGGGUUUU
This 477-nucleotide ribosomal RNA is filed under the name uncultured bacterium. RNAcentral's name for it is "bacterial SSU rRNA". It matches the Rfam family "Bacterial small subunit ribosomal RNA", at positions 365 to 832 of the family's 1533-position model. The record is from RNAcentral.